This 440-nucleotide ribosomal RNA is filed under the name uncultured bacterium. RNAcentral describes it as "partial 16S ribosomal RNA". It matches the Rfam family "Bacterial small subunit ribosomal RNA", at positions 338 to 795 of the family's 1533-position model. The record is from RNAcentral.
CCUACGGGUGGCAGCAGUGGGGAAUAUUGCACAAUGGGGGAAACCCUGAUCCAGCGACGCCGCGUGAGUGAAGAAGUAAUUCGUUAUGUAAAGCUCUAUCAGCAGGGGAGAAAAUGACGGUACCUGAGUAAGAAGCCCCGGCUAACUACGUGCCAGCAGCCGCGGUAAUACGUAGGGGGCAAGCGUUAUCCGGAUGUACUGGGUGUAAAGGGAGCGUAGACGGGAGUGCAGGUCUGGAGUGAAAGGCGGGGGCUCAACCCUCGGAGUGCUCUGGAAACUGUACGGCUGGAGUGCGGGCGAGGUAGGUGGAAUUCGUGGUGUAGCGGUGAAAUGCGUAGAUAUUAGGAGGAACACCAGUGGCGAAGGCGGCUUACUGGAGUGUAACUGACGUUGAGGCUCGAAAGCGUGGGGAGCGAACAGGAUUAGAUACCCUUGUAGUC